This is a long non-coding RNA of Triticum aestivum (bread wheat), 3002 nucleotides long. RefSeq lists it as uncharacterized. The transcript has 10 exons. Lineage: Eukaryota; Viridiplantae; Streptophyta; Magnoliopsida; Poales; Poaceae. The record is from RefSeq and is a predicted model, not a curated record.
CGUUCUCUGUCCAGUUCGUCGUGUUCGGUCUUCGGCCACCUCUUUGCAGGGUCGUAUUCUGAAUAAUAGUGCAAGGUACUUUGAGUAAAUGGUCCACAAAUCAGUGCAUCUGGAGUGCUAGGAUGUGUGGGGACAAAAAGAUGCCAUUGCAUAGGCCCGUUGGCAGAGAAAUCAAAGGUUGGGAAUACCACGCUUUACCAGGCGUUGUCAGCAAUGAUUGAUGAGAUAAUUGGUUUAGCUGCUUUCGGAAGAGGCGACGGGAAUCAUAAAAACCAUGAUGGGUAUGGAGAUCAACAUGAAGAGAGAUGGAAGAGUCUAUAAUUCGUUUUCCUGCCAACAAGCAUCACAAGUAAUAUCGAGAGCGAGCAGUUGCAGAUGAGAGGGGAGACGAGCGUGGGUGGAGGUCAGGCUUUGGCAAGGGAGACGUGGGUCCGCGGUGGAGUGUGAAAGAUGACGUCGAUUGGCCGUUGCCGCGCCACAGGCUCCUGUUUGGCAGCGGCUAUAUGCACGGUCGUCGAAGAAUAUCGCUAUGAUGUAUAUUUCUGUGGGUUUCUCCAUUUGAAUGCUUCUCCUCAACGACCGUGUCAAUCUGGCUUGCGUUUGCAACUGUGAUUUUGGUUGAGAUGUGCAAGAUCAUCCCUCUCUAGAUUCUAAUUUUGUCUGUAGGUUUAUGUACAUUUGAUUUGUCGGUGGCUAAGGUAGUGGUGAUGGCACAGGCUAACUGAUUCAGCCUUUUGCUUCGAAUAUUUGUACUUCUCCAUUUCUUAAUUGUUGAGACAAAAAUAAUAACCUUAGGUAAAACUGCUGUCUAAACAUAGUGCGUAUUUCUUUUACGAAAGAAAAUGUUGUGCAACAUGCUCAUCCAUGAGAACCAUCUAUUCAGCUUUUAUCUAAUUACACAUUGAACAAUUUGAUUAUGAAUCUAUUCUGGUGCAGCCUAUCUACGCUUGCAUUGCUAAUAUUGUUAUAAGUAAUCUAUGGCAUUCCUGAUAAAUGAAUGUUGAAUGGGGAUGUCAUGUCAUAGGUUAACCCUAUUGCUUUGUUUUUUCUCUUGAACUUCCAUAUGCGUGCCCACUUUAGACACCACAAAUUAAUUUGGAGUUUGAUUCUAUACUUUUUAUUUGCUUUAUUGUUUUGCUGAUCUAGAGAAAGCCGAGGACAAUUAGAGAGUUCCAUUCCAUUUAUGCAGAUGAAGAUGAUAAUGAGAAAUUCCAACAUUAUGCCUUUCCCAUUGAAGAAGCAAAUUCUAGCAGAGAAGCCAAUUUUGUAGAUUGAAGAACUUUAGGUUGACAAGCCUGAAAAAGCCUGUGUAAACUGUGUUCUUUAAGCCGCCGUCGAUCUGUCCAUGGACACUGACCUGGGCUGUCGCGGCUUCACCCACACCCAGUGCCUCCCCAAUAUGUACGACCAACCAACACAAAGAGGCACAAUGUCCUUGACCUUGGGGUUGGCGCUGCACGCCGACGCAGCCGCCGACGAUUUGUCCUUGGAAACAGACAUGGACGAGUUUAACAACCCAGGCCAGAGAAAAAUGUUGCCUUCUCUUACAUCGAUCUGUGGUUCCAUCCCAUGGAUGUACUAGCUACAGUGGGAGGGGCGGAAGCGCCUGCCACUGCGAGGACUGCGAAGAGGUGAGGUGCUACUGCUACUGGAACCACGACCAUGGCGGCACCAAGAAGUUCCUCCUAUUCGCAUCCCACGACAAAGAUUAUCUGGUCACAACGCCUCUUCCCCCAUCUGUCUUUUUGUAUGUGCUGCUCCCGUCGAUCGAUUCAGACUUCAGAGUUUCCUCUGUACAUUUCCUCCUUCUGAGACAUCAAAGGAGGGUUCAAUUUGAGGUUUUCUUUAGGGGCUGAUUUUUUUUUGCUUAAUUUCAUCUUUGCCUCAAAAUGUUACUCUGAAUGAUACAUGCUAAAAUCUGUCUGGGAAUGGAUAGAACAUAACAUUUUGCCUUUUGGGAAAUCUGUUUCACAACAUAUGUAUGUUAUGCACCAAGAGGUGGCAAGAAGAAUACUCUGCACUGUACUGUACUAUGUGUGUGCCUGCCAAACUGUUUACUGAAUACUUUUUGCAAGUGAAAAAAUGCUUCAAAUGCUGCUAAUGCUGAGAACCACCGUUGCUGGUCUUAGAAAGGGAGGGGUUUUCAUGAUUAUUUUGGGUGUUAAAUUUUCACUGAAAAAAUAUGUUUAGUACCAUUCUUAGCUAGGUUUUGUGCAUGGAAUAAACUUGUUUCAGGAUAUUUUACCUGGAAGAACUGACUGACAACAAAUGAAGAGGUAGCAGUAAAACAAACACUCUGCACAUGCGUGUCAAACUAAUCAUUGAUACUCCAACUGAAGCUAACUCUUGUGAAGAUAGAGAAUUACUACACUGCUGUCUGCGUGCAUGUGAAGAUCUUUUGGAGAUAAUUACUUAUGUACCAAUACCAUGAGUCCGCUAUUUAUUAAUGUUCACCAAAAAUGAUGAUAAAUUUGGUAAUUAAUUGGUGUCUAUUAAGUGUAAACUUUAUCGAUUUUUUGUGUGAGUUCCGUGCCAAUGAGUCCUUUUGUUUUCUUUGUUUUCCAGAGCACUCAAUAAAUAAAACAGAGCACAGAGCAGUAGCCUUUGGACCAAGUUAUAGUUUGUGCUUGGUAUUAAAUGAUUUGGAGCAGGCUACAUCUGUGAUGACACAGAUUGGUUAUGCAGGAUCUCUUGGCUAAACCUUCUGCUUUAUCAUGAGGACAACAAUAGUGGUUAGUUCUCAUCUGAGCUUGAGUUGUGGUGAAUGCGACCGAUGUUUCGACCGCAUACGAAGAUGUAGUUCUUUUGAUUUAUCGACUAAUAUUAUCGUAUAUAGACGUGAUCCUAUACAGAGGCGAAGUGUGGUAGCAGACUACCCUAUCCUUAUUGUAAAUUAUGUGUGAUCACCGCUAUGAGGCAGUCCUUCGGAUGGAUUUAACACUCCAUGGUUGUUGUAAAUUAUGAAUAAAUUAUGCUGUAGUUUUAGUAUUGUUCUCUAAUCC